GAGAUUGAAUGGGAAAGGCUGGGUACACUGACUUUUAAUCAGUAGGUCGAUGGUUCGAACCCAUCACGGCUCACCA
RNAcentral lists this transfer RNA (76 nucleotides) under Sulfitobacter sp. W074. RNAcentral describes it as "tRNA-Ser". Lineage: Bacteria; Pseudomonadati; Pseudomonadota; Alphaproteobacteria; Rhodobacterales; Roseobacteraceae. The record is from RNAcentral.